GUCCCUGGUGAGGGCUCCACCCCCGGGCCUGUGCCCACGGACCUAGAGACCUUAACAGGCCGACACACAAGUGGCUGGACUUUGAGAGGACGUCUAGGGGAGCAUGCUGGUGGAAGAGCACACCGACAGACGCCAGCAGGCCAUCCACCAGCAGAACAACUCGAGUUUGGCUGGGGCAGUGGGAAGAGAGCCCAGGCCACGGAGCAGCCCGGCUCCAGGGUAAAACCAUCUGCCUACCAGCUCCCCCAUCUGCUGAGACCUACUUCCACUCAAUAAAACCUUG
Molecule: long non-coding RNA, 283 nt
Filed under: Homo sapiens (human)
Lineage: Eukaryota; Metazoa; Chordata; Mammalia; Primates; Hominidae
Description: HSALNT0326729
Source: RNAcentral